UUUUCCAAAAGUUCAUCAGUUAUAUUAACACGCAUGAGUCAUAAUUACAUAGGACCAUCUCACCAUCAUAUCAUAAAGUUUUUUUUUUUUUUUUAUACAAUUCAUGUAUCUCAUGAACUAGUGAUUGUUUUCGACAUAUGUUAAGUGAACUUUGUUAGUUCUUGUGUCUUGUGUCUUUCAUGUGAUGCUAAUUGUAUCUUGGUCGUAAUUUCAAAGCCUAGCCAUGUAGAAACUGAACCUUACAACAAAAUAUUGGUAAAAAGUUUGGUGUGGCUUUUAUGGGAGAGAUGCAACGUCGUCACGUCAAAUCUUCUGACAGAUUUUUCUCUUAAAUCCCAAAGAUU
Molecule: long non-coding RNA, 344 nt
Filed under: Capsella rubella
Lineage: Eukaryota; Viridiplantae; Streptophyta; Magnoliopsida; Brassicales; Brassicaceae
Description: long non-coding RNA (CRUB_LNC002074)
Source: RNAcentral